GNNNAGAACAACAGGGAUUGCCUCAGUAACGGCGAGUGAAGCGGCAACAGCUCAAAUUUGAAAUCUGGCUUUCGGGCCCGAGUUGUAAUUUGUAGAGGGAGUUUCGGAGGCGGCGCCGGCCUAAGUUCCUUGGAACAGGGCGUCAUAGAGGGUGAGAAUCCCGUACGUGGCCGGCGGUCAAUUCCGUGUGAAACCCCUUCGACGAGUCGAGUUGUUUGGGAAUGCAGCUCAAAAUGGGUGGUAAAUUUCAUCUAAAGCUAAAUACCGGCCAGAGACCGAUAGCGCACAAGUAGAGUGAUCGAAAGAUGAAAAGCACUUUGGAAAGAGAGUUAAAAAGUACGUGAAAUUGUUGAAAGGGAAGCGCUUGCAACCAGACUUGCUCGCGGGUGAUCAACCCCCCUUCGCGGGAGGUGCACUCGCCCGCGAUCAGGCCAGCAUCGGUUUCGACGGGCGGAUAAAGGCUCCNGGAAUGUAGCUCCCCUCGGGGAGUGUUAUAGCCUGGAGUGCCAUGCGCCCCGCCGGGACCGAGGACCGCGCUUCGGCUAGGAUGCUGGCGUAAUGGUUGUAAGCGACCCGUCUUGAAACACGGACCAAGGAGUCUAACAUCUAUGCGAGUGUUUGGGUGAUAAACCCUGGCGCGGAAUGAAAGUGAACGGAGGUGGGAGCCCCUUUCGGGGGGUGCACCAUCGWCCGAUCCAGAUGUCUUCGGAUGGAUUUGAGUAGGAGCAUAGCUGUUGGGACCCGAAAGAUGGUGAMCUAUGCCUGGAUAGGGUGAAGCCAGAGGAAACUCUGGUGGAGGCUCGCAGCGGUUCUGAYGUGCAAAUCGAUCGUCAAAUCUGGGUAUAGSGGYGAAAGGCAAGCUACCCGGUUAAUUAUUCUUUUAGGGACAUAUMUGCUAACAAUUUUUACAGACUAAUCGAACCAUCUAGUAAAUCGCUACUAGAAAAACUACACGAAGAAUAGGCUGUACACGCCAUAGUAGUCCCCCGAUUUUGGGGGGGCCACACCGCCGGUCUUCGGGGAUACCUUUCUGGGGUUACCCGUACUGAGCCCGAGGCUCAGUCACAGACUAAGUGACGGUGGCCGCGGGAUGAGCCUGCGGUUAGGAUAUAGUCGGCGGACCUC
Molecule: ribosomal RNA, 1125 nt
Filed under: Circinaria contorta
Lineage: Eukaryota; Fungi; Ascomycota; Lecanoromycetes; Pertusariales; Megasporaceae
Description: LSU rRNA
Rfam family: Eukaryotic large subunit ribosomal RNA
Source: RNAcentral